AUUGAACGCUGGCGGCAGGCCUAACACAUGCAAGUCGAACGCGAAAGUCCUUCGGAUGAGUAGAGUGGCGGACGGGUGAGUAACGCGUGGGAAUCUGCCCUGUAGUGGGGGAGUAACGUUCCGAAAGGGACGCUAAUACCGCAUACGCCCCAAGGGGAAAGCGGGGAGUCUUCGGACCUCGUGCUACAGGAUGAGCUUGCGUCGGAUUAGCUAGUUGGUGGGGUAAAGGCCUACCAAGGCGACGAUCCGUAGCUGGUCUGAGAGGAUGAUCAGCCACACCGGGACUGAGACACGGCCCGGACUCCUACGGGAGGCAGCAGUGGGGAAUAUUGCGCAAUGGGGCAACCCUGACGCAGCCAUGCCGCGUGUGUGAAGAAGGCC
This 381-nucleotide ribosomal RNA is filed under the name uncultured bacterium. RNAcentral's name for it is "bacterial SSU rRNA". It matches the Rfam family "Bacterial small subunit ribosomal RNA", at positions 29 to 416 of the family's 1533-position model. The record is from RNAcentral.